AAUGCUACAAGCGUCCAUUAAAAGGGACAGUUUCCAACAUUGAAACUCCAGGAACUUAACCCCCAACUCAGAAACGGUGGCUGAUGCUCCAGCAGCCAUCCUGGACCACAAAGUAACACCGAAGAUGGAAACUAGGUUCUAGGACAGUGGCAGAGAAAGAUCCUAGCUCCUGCCUCUGAUGACACGUGAAGCUGCCAUUCUAGCCCUUGACUGCCCACCACUAGAUUUCUUUUCUAUGAGAGAGAAAUAAAUGUUUAUCUCACUUAAGCAA
Long non-coding RNA from Galeopterus variegatus (Sunda flying lemur), 271 nucleotides. RefSeq lists it as uncharacterized. Lineage: Eukaryota; Metazoa; Chordata; Mammalia; Dermoptera; Cynocephalidae. The record is from RefSeq and is a predicted model, not a curated record. The transcript has 2 exons.